AACGAACGCUGGCGGCAUGCCUAACACAUGCAAGUCGAACGAGACCUUCGGGUCUAGUGGCGCACGGGUGCGUAACGCGUGGGAAUCUGCCCUUGGGUUCGGAAUAACAGUUAGAAAUGACUGCUAAUACCGGAUAAUGUCUUCGGACCAAAGAUUUAUCGCCCAGGGAUGAGCCCGCGUAGGAUUAGCUAGUUGGUGAGGUAAAGGCUCACCAAGGCGACGAUCCUUAGCUGGUCUGAGAGGAUGAUCAGCCACACUGGGACUGAGACACGGCCCAGACUCCUACGGGAGGCAGCAGUGGGGAAUAUUGGACAAUGGCGAAAGCCUGAUCCAGCAAUGCCGCGUGAGUGAUGAAGGCCUUAGGGUUGUAAAGCUCUUUUACCCGGGAUGAUAAUGACAGUACCGGGAGAAUAAGCCCCGGCUAACUCCGUGCCAGCAGCCGCGGUAA
Molecule: ribosomal RNA, 448 nt
Filed under: uncultured bacterium
Lineage: Bacteria
Description: bacterial SSU rRNA
Rfam family: Bacterial small subunit ribosomal RNA
Source: RNAcentral